AUUGCCCGCCGCGCGCGGCGGGCGGGGCGGGGGCACGGGGGGCCUACGGGAGGCAGCAGUCGGGAAUUUUGCGCAAUGGAGGAAACUCUGACGCAGUGACGCCGCGUGCAGGAAGAAGGUUUUCAGAUUGUAAACUGCUUUAGACAGGGAAGAAAAAGGACAGUACCUGUAGAAUAAGCUCCGGCUAACUACGUGCCAGCAGCCGCGGUAAUAAUCUCUAGAGGAUCCCC
Molecule: ribosomal RNA, 230 nt
Filed under: uncultured soil bacterium
Lineage: Bacteria
Description: partial 16S ribosomal RNA
Rfam family: Bacterial small subunit ribosomal RNA
Source: RNAcentral